Oncorhynchus mykiss (rainbow trout) is the source of this 3933-nucleotide long non-coding RNA. The record is from Ensembl. Lineage: Eukaryota; Metazoa; Chordata; Actinopteri; Salmoniformes; Salmonidae.
AUGUCAGUGUACGGUAGUUUGGAUAGUAAAUGCAUACAUGGAUGGAUUACUAGACCAGUCUACCACUACUACCAUCACCACCACUACUGCCACCACCACGACCACCACCACGACCACCACCACCACCACCACGACGACGACCACCACCACGACGACCACCACCACGACCACCACCACCACGACCACCACCACGACCACCACCACGACCACCACCACGACCACCACCACGACCACCACCACGACCACCACCACGACGACCACCACCACGACCACCACCACGACCACCACCACACGACCACCACCACGACCACCACCACGACCACCACCACCACGACGACCACCACCACGACCACCACCACCACGACCACCACCACCACGACCACCACCACCACGACCACCACCACCACGACCACCACCACCACGACCACCACCACGACCACCACCACUACUACGACCACCACCACCACUACUACGACCACCACCACUACUACGACCACCACCACUACUACGACCACCACCACUACUACGACCACCAGUCCUCCACCACCACAACCACCAGUCCUCCACCACCACAACCACCAGUCCUCCACCACAACCACCAGUCCUCCACCACCAGUCCUCAACCACCAGUCCUCCACCACCAGUCCUCCACCAGUCCUCCACCACCAGUCCUCCACCACCACCACCACCAGUCCUCCCCCACUACCACCACCACCAGUCCUCCCCCACUACCACCACCACCAGUCCUCCCCCACUACCACCAGUCCCCCACCACCACCACUCCCCCCCCACCACCACCACCAGUCCCCCAUCACCACCACCAGUCCCCCACCACCAGUCCACCGCCACCAGUCCACCGCCACCAGUCCACCGCCACCAGUCCACCGCCACCAGUCCACCGCCACCAGUCCACCGCCACCAGUCCACUACUGCCACCACCACGACCACCACCACUACCACGACCACCACCACUACCACGACCACCACCACUACCACGACCACCACCACUACCACGACCACCACCACUACCACGACCACCACCACUACUACGACCACCACCACUACUACGACCACCACCACUACUACGACCACCACCACUACUACGACCACCAGUCCUCCACCACAACCACCAGUCCUCCACCACAACCACCAGUCCUCCACCACAACCACCAGUCCUCCACCACAACCACCAGUCCUCAACCACCAGUCCUCAACCACCAGUCCUCCACCACCAGUCCUCCACCACCAGUCCUCCACCACCAGUCCACCACCACCAGUCCUCCACCACCAGUCCACCACCACCAGUCCUCCCCCACUACCACCACCACCAGUCCUCCCCCACUACCACCACUCCCCCAUCACCACCACCACUCCCCCAUCACCACCACCAGUCCCCCAUCACCACCACCAGUCCCCCAUCACCGCCACCAGUCCACCGCCACCAGUCCACCGCCACCUCCACCAGUCCUCCUCCACCAGUCCUCCACCUCCACCAGUCCACCUCCACCAGUCCUCCUCCACCAGUCCUCCACCUCCACCAGUCCUCCUCCACCACCUCCACCAGUCCUCCUCCACCACCUCCACCAGUCCUCCACCAGUCCUCCACCACCACCUCCACCAGUCCUCCACCUCCACCAGUCCUCCACCUCCACCAGUCCUCCACCUCCACCAGUCCUCCACCACCACCAGUCCACCACCACCAGUCCACCACCACCAGUCCACCACCACCAGUCCACCACCACCAGUCCACCACCACCAGUCCACCACCACCAGUCCACCACCACCAGUCCACCACCACCAGUCCUCCACCACCACCUCCACCAGUCCUCCACCUCCACCAGUCCACCACCACCACCAUCAGUCCCCCACCACCAGUCCACCAGUCCUCCCCACCACCAGUCCACCAGUCCUCCCCCACCACCACCAGUCCUCCCCCACCACCAGUCCACCAGUCCUCCCCCACCACCAGUCCACCAGUCCUCCCCCACCACCAGUCCACCAGUCGUCCCCCACCACCAGUCCACCAGUCGUCCCCCACCACCAGUCCACCAGUCGUCCCCCACCACCAGUCCACCAGUCGUCCCCCACCACCAGUCCACCAGUCGUCCCCCACCACCAGUCCACCAGUCGUCCCCCACCACCAGUCCACCAGUCGUCCCCCACCACCAGUCCACCAGUCGUCCCCCACCACCAGUCCACCAGUCCUCCCCCACCACCAGUCCACCAGUCCUCCCCCACCACCAGUCCACCAGUCCUCCCCCACCACCAGUCGUCCCCCACCACCAGUCGUCCCCCACCACCAGUCCACCAGUCGUCCCCCACCACCAGUCGUCCCCCACCACCAGUCCACCAGUCGUCCCCCACCACCAGUCCACCAGUCGUCCCCCACCACCAGUCCACCAGUCGUCCCCCACCACCAGUCCACCAGUCGUCCCCCACCACCAGUCCACCAGUCGUCCCCCACCACCAGUCCACCAGUCGUCCCCCACCACCAGUCCACCAGUCGUCCCCCACCACCAGUCCACCAGUCGUCCCCCACCACCAGUCCACCAGUCGUCCCCCACCACCAGUCCACCAGUCGUCCCCCACCACCAGUCCACCAGUCGUCCCCCACCACCAGUCCACCAGUCGUCCCCCACCACCUCCACCAGUCCUCCCCCACCACCUCCACCAGUCCUCCACCACCACCACCAGUCCUCCACCACCACCACCAGUCCUCCACCACCACCACCAGUCCUCCACCACCACCACCAGUCCUCCACCACCACCACCAGUCCUCCACCACCACCACCAGUCCUCCACCACCACCAGUCCACCAGUCCUCCCCCACCACCACCAGUCCUCCCCCACCACCACCAGUCCACCAGUCCUCCCCCACCACCACCAGUCCUCCCCCACCACCAGUCCACCAGUCGUCCACCAGUCGUCCCCCACCACCAGUCCACCAGUCGUCCCCCACCACCAGUCCACCAGUCGUCCCCCACCACCAGUCCACCAGUCCUCCCCCACCACCAGUCCACCAGUCGUCCCCCACCACCAGUCCACCAGUCGUCCCCCACCACCAGUCCACCAGUCGUCCCCCACCACCAGUCCACCAGUCGUCCCCCACCACCAGUCCACCAGUCGUCCCCCACCACCAGUCCACCAGUCGUCCCCCACCACCAGUCCACCAGUCGUCCCCCACCACCAGUCCACCAGUCGUCCCCCACCACCAGUCCACCAGUCGUCCCCCACCACCAGUCCACCAGUCGUCCCCCACCACCAGUCCACCAGUCGUCCCCCACCACCAGUCCACCAGUCGUCCCCCACCACCAGUCCACCAGUCGUCCCCCACCACCAGUCCACCAGUCGUCCCCCACCACCAGUCCACCAGUCGUCCCCCACCACCAGUCCACCAGUCGUCCCCCACCACCUCCACCAGUCCUCCCCCACCACCUCCACCAGUCCUCCCCCACCACCUCCACCACCACCACCAGUCCUCCACCACCACCACCAGUCCUCCACCACCACCACCAGUCCUCCACCACCACCACCAGUCCUCCACCACCACCACCAGUCCUCCACCACCACCACCAGUCCUCCACCCCCUCCACCAGUCCUCCACCCCCUCCACCAGUCCUCCACCCCCUCCACCAGUCCUCCACCCCCUCCACCAGUCCUCCACCCCCUCCACCAGUCCUCCACCCCCUCCACCAGUCCACCCCCUCCACCAGUCCUCCCCCUCCACCAGUCCUCCCCCUCCACCAGUCCUCCACCUCCACCAGUCCUCCACCACCACCAGUCCUCCACCACCACCAGUCCUCCACCACCACCACCAGUCCUCCACCACCACCACCAGUCCUCCACCACCACCACCAGUCCCCACCACCACCAGUCCUCCACCACCACCACCAGUCCUCCACCACCACCACCAGUCCUCCACCACCACAGUAG